CACUCCUGCGGGAGGCAGCAGUGGGGAAUAUUGGACAAUGGGCGCAAGCCUGAUCCAGCCAUGCCGCGUGAGUGAUGAAGGCCCUAGGGUUGUAAAGCUCUUUCACCGGUGAAGAUAAUGACGGUAACCGGAGAAGAAGCCCCGGCUAACUUCGUGCCAGCAGCCGCGGUAAUACGAAGGGGGCUAGCGUUGUUCGGAUUUACUGGGCGUAAAGCGCACGUAGGCGGACUAUUAAGUCAGGGGUGAAAUCCCGGGGCUCAACCCCGGAACUGCCUUUGAUACUGGUAGUCUUGAGUUCGAGAGAGGUUAGUGGAAUUCCGAGUGUAGAGGUGAAAUUCGUAGAUAUUCGGAGGAACACCAGUGGCGAAGGCGGCUCACUGGCUCGAUACUGACGCUGAGGUGCGAAAGCGUGGGGAGCAAACAGGAUUAGAUACCCGAGUAGUCCCA
Molecule: ribosomal RNA, 447 nt
Filed under: uncultured organism
Description: partial 16S ribosomal RNA
Rfam family: Bacterial small subunit ribosomal RNA
Source: RNAcentral